RNAcentral lists this ribosomal RNA (506 nucleotides) under uncultured bacterium. Its description in RNAcentral is "bacterial SSU rRNA". It matches the Rfam family "Bacterial small subunit ribosomal RNA", at positions 33 to 518 of the family's 1533-position model. The record is from RNAcentral.
ACGCUGGCGGCGUGCCUAAUACAUGCAAGUAGAACGCUGAAGACUUUAGCUUGCUAAAGUUGGAAGAGUUGCGAACGGGUGAGUAACGCGUAGGUAACCUGCCUACGUAGCGGGGGAUAACUAUUGGAAACGAUAGCUAAUACCGCAUAACAGCAUUUAACACAUGUUAGAUGCUUGGAAAGGAGCAAUUGCUUCACUAGUAGAUGGACCUGCGUUGUAUUAGCUAGUUGGUGAGGUAACGGCUCACCAAGGCGACGAUACAUAGCGACCUGAGAGGGUGAUCGGCCACACUGGGACUGAGACACGGCCCAGACUCCUACGGGAGGCAGCAGUAGGGAAUCGUUCGGCAAUGGGGGCAACCCUGACCGAGCAACGCCGCGUGAGUGAAAGAGGGUUUUCGGAUCGUAAAGCUCUGUUGUAAGAGAAGAACGUGUGUGAGAGUGGAAAGUUCACGACAGUGACGGUAACUUACCAGAAAGGACGGCUAACUACGUGCCAGCAGCCGC